GUGUUUGCUUCAGCAGCACAUGUAAGAUUGGAAUGAUGCAGAGAUGUACAAAGAUGACAUAAAUUUGUGUGGUGUUUCAUAUUUUU
This 86-nucleotide small nuclear RNA is filed under the name Cervus elaphus hippelaphus. Lineage: Eukaryota; Metazoa; Chordata; Mammalia; Artiodactyla; Cervidae. The record is from RNAcentral.